UACGAAGGGAGCUAGCGUUGUUCGGAAUCACUGGGCGUAAAGCGCACGUAGGCGGAUGUGUCAGUCAGGGGUGAAAUCCCGGAGCUCAACUUCGGAACUGCCUUUGAUACAGCAUGUCUUGAGUCCGGAAGAGGUGGGUGGAAUUCCUAGUGUAGAGGUGAAAUUCGUAGAUAUUAGGAAGAACACCGGUGGCGAAGGCGGCCCACUGGUCCGGUACUGACGCUGAGGUGCGAAAGCGUGGGGAGCAAACAGG
Molecule: ribosomal RNA, 253 nt
Filed under: uncultured bacterium
Lineage: Bacteria
Description: partial 16S ribosomal RNA
Rfam family: Bacterial small subunit ribosomal RNA
Source: RNAcentral